GGGGUUGUGGCUUAGCGGUAGAGCACUCACCUAGUAAGUGCAAGGCCCUGGGUUCAAUCCUCAGCAUCACAU
Molecule: non-coding RNA, 72 nt
Organism: Ictidomys tridecemlineatus (thirteen-lined ground squirrel)
Lineage: Eukaryota; Metazoa; Chordata; Mammalia; Rodentia; Sciuridae
Source: Rfam